ACGCUGGCGGCAGGCUUAACACAUGCAAGUCGAGCGGGGAAAAGUAGCUUGCUACUUAACUUAGCGGCGGACGGGUGAGUAAUACUUAGGAAUCUGCCUAUUAGUGGGGGACAACAUUUCGAAAGGAAUGCUAAUACCGCAUACGUCCUACGGGAGAAAGCAGGGGAUCACUUGUGACCUUGCGCUAAUAGAUGAGCCUAAGUCGGAUUAGCUAGUUGGUGGGGUAAAGGCCUACCAAGGCGACGAUCUGUAGCGGGUCUGAGAGGAUGAUCCGCCACACUGGGACUGAGACACGGCCCAGACUCCUACGGGAGGCAGCAGUGGGGAAUAUUGGACAAUGGGGGGAACCCUGAUCCAGCCAUGCCGCGUGUGUGAAGAAGGCCUUUUGGUUGUAAAGCACUUUAAGCGAGGAGGAGGCUACUCUAGUUAAUACCUAGAGAUAGUGGACGUUACUCGCAGAAUAAGCACCGGCUAACUCUGUGCCAGCAGCCGCGGUAAUACAGAGGGUGCGAGCGUUAAUCGGAUUUACUGGGCGUAAAGCGUGCGUAGGUGGCCAAUUAAGUCAAAUGUGAAAUCCCCGAGCUUAACUUGGGAAUUGCAUUCGAUACUGGUUGGCUAGAGUAUGGGAGAGGAUGGUAGAAUUCCAGGUGUAGCGGUGAAAUGCGUAGAGAUCUGGAGGAAUACCGAUGGCGAAGGCAGCCAUCUGGCCUAAUACUGACACUGAGGUACGAAAGCAUGGGGAGCAAACAGGAUUAGAUACCCUGGUAGUCC
Molecule: ribosomal RNA, 771 nt
Filed under: uncultured bacterium
Lineage: Bacteria
Description: bacterial SSU rRNA
Rfam family: Bacterial small subunit ribosomal RNA
Source: RNAcentral